GGAACACAGCUCAGUGGUAAAGCACUUACCUAGAAUGCACAGGCUCUGGGUUCAAUCCCCAGUACCA
RNAcentral lists this transfer RNA (67 nucleotides) under Marmota monax (woodchuck). Its description in RNAcentral is "tRNA.Ser". Lineage: Eukaryota; Metazoa; Chordata; Mammalia; Rodentia; Sciuridae. The record is from RNAcentral.